RNAcentral lists this ribosomal RNA (253 nucleotides) under uncultured bacterium. RNAcentral's name for it is "partial 16S ribosomal RNA". It matches the Rfam family "Bacterial small subunit ribosomal RNA", at positions 524 to 776 of the family's 1533-position model. The record is from RNAcentral.
UACAGAGGGGGCAAGCGUUGUUCGGAAUUACUGGGCGUGAAGGGCGCGUAGGCGGCCCGCUAAGUCGAACGUGAAAUCCCCGAGCUCAACUCGGGAACUGCGUCCGAUACUGGCGGGCUUGAAUCCGGGAGAGGGAUGCGGAAUUCCAGGUGUAGCGGUGAAAUGCGUAGAUAUCUGGAGGAACACCGGUGGCGAAGGCGGCAUCCUGGACCGGCAUUGACGCUGAGGCGCGAAAGCGUGGGGAGCAAACAGG